AUCAGUACUUAUCAUCGAUAUAUUUUCCAUUGUGGUGACAGAUAUAUG
RNAcentral lists this non-coding RNA (48 nucleotides) under Plasmodium falciparum 3D7. Lineage: Eukaryota; Apicomplexa; Aconoidasida; Haemosporida; Plasmodiidae. The record is from RNAcentral.